AUGGGGGGGGUGGCUUCUCCUAGAACCCCUGGUAGUAGAUGUUUUAAAUUUGAUAACGCCUGGUUGAACAAUCCUGAGUUUCUUCCUCUAGUAGCUGCAAUUUGGGCGCAGCCUGUUUACACUAGUGAUCCUAUUGAUGUGUUAAAUAUCAAGUUGAAAAGAAUUAAGAAAUUCUUCAAAGGAUGGGGAUCAAACAUUUUUGGUCGGAAUAAGAUUAGGAAAAACCUUAUCAGACUCGAGCUUCAGGAGCUGGAGAAUAUGGAAGAAGAAAAUGACCUGUGUGGGGAAGCCUAUACUAGGAAGUUGAAUAUCCUAGUAGAACUUAAUGACAUGUAUACCGAGGAAGAGACCCAUUGGCACCAGUUUUCGAGUGGGAGAUGGCUCCUAAAAGGGGACAACAACACUGGCUUCUUUCACAAGGUAGCCAAUGGGCAUCGUAGGAAAAAUUCCAUGGUUUCAUUGGAGUGUGGUUCUGUGGUUAUAGAAGGGACCAAAAACCUGCUAUCCCAUGCUACCAAUUACUACAGAGAGUUGUUUGGACCAGCCCCUGGCAACAUUUGCCAAAUCGAUGCUUCAUUAUGGUCCCAGGAUGAAAAGAUCAUGCCUGAGGAUAAUGAGUACCUGACCCGCCCUUUCUCUCUUGAGGAAAUCAAGACAGCAUUGUUUGCGAUGAAACCUAAUCGCGCUCCUGGACCGGACAAUAUUCCUGCAGAAUUCUAUCAACAUUGCUGGGACGUUGUGAGUCCGGAGAUGUUCAACGCUUGA
RNAcentral lists this ribosomal RNA (765 nucleotides) under Triticum aestivum (bread wheat). RNAcentral describes it as "partial small subunit ribosomal RNA". The record is from RNAcentral. Lineage: Eukaryota; Viridiplantae; Streptophyta; Magnoliopsida; Poales; Poaceae.